Ictidomys tridecemlineatus (thirteen-lined ground squirrel) is the source of this 332-nucleotide unclassified non-coding RNA. Its record names the gene 7SK. It matches the Rfam family "7SK RNA". Rfam says of the family: 7SK was discovered as an abundant small nuclear RNA in the mid-70s but a possible function has only recently been suggested. Two independent studies have found that 7SK RNA binds the CDK9/cyclin T complex (known as elongation factor P-TEFb). The record is from Ensembl. Lineage: Eukaryota; Metazoa; Chordata; Mammalia; Rodentia; Sciuridae.
GGAUGUGAGAGCUGCAACAUCUAUCACCCCAUUGAUCCCCAGGGUCUAUUUGGCUGAUCUGACUGGGUGGUCCCCUUCCUCCCUCACUGCUCAUGUGCAUCACUCCAAGAAGCUGCACUCUCUGUGGAAGAGGAGGACGACCUUCCAGAUAGAGAAGGAUCGCUCUUCCAUCAGUGUAUGGGAGUAGCUGCAGUCCCCUGUGGAACCUCUAGACUCUCUCUCAAGGUCCAAAAUGUUGUGGCUACAAGGUAAGAAUCUGAUGGGCAUUUUCUUGGACAAUUUAUUACAGAGUGCAGAGAACAGAGGUGAUGGAAACGAUUAUGUGUUCUUUG